CAACAUGGUGAUUAUUUUAUGUUGAUGCGGUACAGUGAUUGGUUUCAUCCUAGAAAAAUAAUAAAUAUUACUGUAGGGAAGGAUCUUAAUAUUAGCAGAAUCCUGCUAAAUCAAUACGUGCUACUUGCUUGUGAGUGCGAAAUAGAAGUCUUAUUGCACACACAACCAGAACACACUCGUUGAUUGGCGUGUCCAGCACACGUGACCAUUAACCAAUGAAACAGCCCAGACCUGACCAGCACAACAGCCGGCUGUUCAUCACUACGGAAGGUCACCUCCCCUCGACGUGCCAGUCACCCUUUCUACCAUAGCGGCGCUUUGGUGUGGGCAGGGGCAUGUAACUCACGGCAGCUACAGCGGACUUUCAUCUCAGUUCUCUCCCAUGUUGGUCUUAGACCUGGAUUUCAGUCGACCGGGCAGGGUUUCGCGUGGUGCGUGAUAAGGGCCAGUCACUCACAUCCUAGCUGCUCC
This is a long non-coding RNA of Physella acuta, 471 nucleotides long. RefSeq lists it as uncharacterized. Lineage: Eukaryota; Metazoa; Mollusca; Gastropoda; Physidae. The record is from RefSeq and is a predicted model, not a curated record.